UGGCUCAGUGGUAGAGCACUUGCCUUGCAUGCAUGAGGCCCUGGGUUCAAUUCCUAG
RNAcentral lists this transfer RNA (57 nucleotides) under Dipodomys ordii (Ord's kangaroo rat). It matches the Rfam family "tRNA", at positions 8 to 63 of the family's 71-position model. Rfam says of the family: Transfer RNA (tRNA) molecules are approximately 80 nucleotides in length. Their secondary structure includes four short double-helical elements and three loops (D, anti-codon, and T loops). The record is from Rfam by way of RNAcentral. Lineage: Eukaryota; Metazoa; Chordata; Mammalia; Rodentia; Heteromyidae.